Long non-coding RNA from Gadus chalcogrammus (walleye pollock), 1001 nucleotides. RefSeq lists it as uncharacterized. The transcript has 7 exons. NCBI's taxonomy places the organism in Eukaryota, Metazoa, Chordata, Actinopteri, Gadiformes, Gadidae. The record is from RefSeq and is a predicted model, not a curated record.
CCUUUCCGGUCCCGUCUAUAAGACCACGUUUAAAAGACGGCGGCUCCACAACUGUUUGAGUACGGAUCAAUACCAGCAUCAGCGUGUUACUUUAGACAUCUGAACCAAAGUUACAAUGGACCCCGCUCAUCUCUCGGAAAAAAACAUUUGCCCUGUACUAUGGCUGCACAGGGCCCACUGCUGCCAGCAUGACCGCAAUGAUGGUGGAUCUUGGCCUGCGUGCGCCUUUGUAUUUGUGGAGGACCUACUCGGGUAGGACCCACUAAGAGAAGCCCCAUGGAUGAUUAUGAAAGGCAGCGGGCAGAAUCGCUCUCCCUGUGCUGCGACCCCUUCGAUCAGCCCCUCCAUGAUCUGUUACCUAAAUCACUACAACUAGGGGACUUUGAUAAGCUCUUGUAGGGAAGUGCAAAAUUAACAGAAAAGGCCAACUUUAAGACUGGGGUGAAUCUGGUGGUGCUGCUGGGGCUGAAGGUGCAAUUAUUCCGAAAGGAGUUGCUGUGCGCCCUUGGACCAGCCCUCCCAUGAUCUGUUGCCUAAAUAAUCUGCGGGACUGACAAGCUCUUCCUGGAACCAGCCAAGCUAAAGGCCAUAACAGGGCCGGCGUAUGCAACGAGAUGGCUCUGGUGGUGAGUGACGGGAUGCCAUCUUGUGAAAGACUAGGACAAGUUACCCCCUGCUCCGCUGCCCCUAUAGGACACUUCUGGCAGUGCAAUGGAGCCGACCCAUUGACCUGCAUGAUCACAUUGCUUGUAUUACUCUACUUCACAUGAAUAUCUUUUGUGAAUCCUCUUCAGCAACAUGGUACAUUUCUGUUUGAGAGAUAAAAAUGGAAACCGUUUCCCAUGCAUUCAGCUGCACAUCAGUUAUUUCAAUGUCCAGUUUUUCCUGUUUUCUUUUUCAAAAAUUCUGUUGUCUCCAUAUUCAGUGCUGUGAUGCCAUGGUAUAACUUGCUUAUAAUGCCUUUUGGAACUCCUGAGAUUUAGGCAUUAAUAAAUGUAUAA